This 472-nucleotide ribosomal RNA is filed under the name uncultured bacterium. Its description in RNAcentral is "bacterial SSU rRNA". It matches the Rfam family "Bacterial small subunit ribosomal RNA", at positions 8 to 526 of the family's 1533-position model. The record is from RNAcentral.
AGGGUUUGAUCAUGGCUCAGAACGUACGCUGGCGGCACGCCUAACACAUGCAAGUCGAACGCAGUAGCAAUACUGAGUGGCAAACGGGUGAGUAUAAUGUGGGAAUCUGCCUUUUGGUUUGGAAUAACACGGGGAAACUUGUGCUAAUACCGAAUAAGCCCUUACGGGGAAAGUUUUAACGCCAAAAGAUGAGCCCGCACUUGAUUAGCUAGUUGGUAAGGUAAAAGCUUACCAAGGCAACGAUCAAUAGCUGUUCUUAGAGGAAGACCAGCCACAUUGGGACUGAGACACGGCCCAGACUCCUACGGGAGGCAGCAGUGGGGAAUCUUGCACAAUGGGGGAAACCCUGAUGCAGCGAUGCCGCGUGAGUGAAGAAGGCCCUUGGGUUGUAAAACUCUUUCGUCGGGGAAGAAAAUGACUGUACCCGAAUAAGGAGGUCCGGCUAACUUCGUGCCAGCAGCCGCGGUAAUUC